AUUGAACGCUGGCGGCAUGCCUUACACAUGCAAGUCGAGCGGAGCGAGGGUGCUUGCACCUUAGCUUAGCGGCGGACGGGUGAGUAAUGCUUAGGAAUCUGCCUAUUAGUGGGGGACAACAUUCCGAAAGGGAUGCUAAUACCGCAUACGCCCUACGGGGGAAAGCAGGGGAUCUUCGGACCUUGCGCUAAUAGAUGAGCCUAAGUCGGAUUAGCUAGUUGGUGGGGUAAAGGCCUACCAAGGCGACGAUCUGUAGCGGGUCUGAGAGGAUGAUCCGACACACUGGGACUGAGACACGGCCCAGACUCCUACGGGAGGCAGCAGUGGGGAAUAUUGGACAAUGGGGGGAACCCUGAUCCAGCCAUGCCGCGUGUGUGAAGAAGGCCUUUUGGUUGUAAAGCACUUUAAGCGAGGAGGAGGCGCUCUAGGAUAAUACCCUAGAUGCGUGGACGUUACUCGCAGAAUAAGCACCGGCUAACUCUGUGCCAGCAGCCGCCGUAA
This 501-nucleotide ribosomal RNA is filed under the name uncultured bacterium. RNAcentral describes it as "partial 16S ribosomal RNA". It matches the Rfam family "Bacterial small subunit ribosomal RNA", at positions 30 to 523 of the family's 1533-position model. The record is from RNAcentral.